Molecule: long non-coding RNA, 1145 nt
Filed under: Gouania willdenowi (blunt-snouted clingfish)
Lineage: Eukaryota; Metazoa; Chordata; Actinopteri; Blenniiformes; Gobiesocidae
Description: lncRNA (ENSGWIG00000006169.1)
Source: RNAcentral
UAGGAACUUAAUUUGACAUAAAUUGGAACGUUUGAUUUGUUUAUGCAUCAUAAGACAUGACGUGACUAUAAAGAAAAUCUGUCUUAGACAUAAUUGUGAGUGAUUUUACUCAAUAUACGUAAUGUUUAGUUCAAGCACAAGCCUACUGCGCAUGCGUGUGCUGGUCAAUUAAAUCCAAUUAGUGGCAAGGUGUGUUGGCAGGAAGUCUUAAAAAAAACAAAAAAAAACAGUGAAAUACUGCCGCAGAUGACCGAGUCUUAGUGUUUUGGAGCUAAGAAAAAUAAAGAAAACAAUAUAGGAAAUGUUUCUGAAGCUAAACAGACACUACUGCAGUGUUCUGCUUCUUUAUUCUAUCUUAUCAGUAAUAAACCUGCCGUCCGCGGGCCGGUGUGAGCGCACCGCUCGGCCAUUUUUCUUCACCCGUCCCUCCAUCGACCUUUCACCCACAGAGAGCUCCUUAAACUGGCCUCACCGCUCCACAGACGGACAAGACGGUCCUACACACCUGCCCCGACCAGAGAACCUCCGGGAUGGACCGGGGUCGGAAACCAACAGCUCCGGGUCGAGGCCCGAGCAGAGGCUCAAGCGCAGAAUGGUGUCCGCCUUUGGGGAGAAAAACCUGUACUACCGGCCGAGGCCCCCCUCAGGUCGCUGGGUCUUCUCCCCGCACAGCCCUGCUCAUGGGAACUGUAGUAAAGGGGAAAUCAGACGCAUUGUCCCGGGAAAGUUCUACAUUUCGGGCCAACUGGAGGCAAACAUUCCCAGUCUGGGAUACCAGUCCGACUCUGCUGCUUCAGCAGUCCGGGCUCAGCGAGGCGAGGGCAGGAACAAAGGUCAGCGUGUCAGCGGCUCAGAGGAGAGCUGGCAGAAGCUGCAGCCUGUGGUGGAGUGUGGAGAUGAUGCCAUGACCCUCACUGUCAGGAGGAGACGGGCUGUACAGCUGCUGCUGGAUCGAGGUGAAGCUGAGUUUUAUUUACCGUAUUUUUCGGAUUAUAAGGCGCACUAUCAAUGAAUGGGUCUAUUUUCAUACAUGAGGCGUACCGGUUUAUUAUUAUUAUUAUUAUUAUUAUUAUUAUUAUUAUUAUUAUUAUUAUUAUUAUUAUUAUUAAGACGCAUUAAGCAAAAUAAAAUAGUCAGAUAAGUCA